This 343-nucleotide ribosomal RNA is filed under the name Proteus sp. B21. RNAcentral describes it as "bacterial SSU rRNA". It matches the Rfam family "Bacterial small subunit ribosomal RNA", at positions 150 to 488 of the family's 1533-position model. The record is from RNAcentral. Lineage: Bacteria; Pseudomonadati; Pseudomonadota; Gammaproteobacteria; Enterobacterales; Morganellaceae.
CUGGAAACGGUGGCUAAUACCGCAUAAUGUCUACGGACCAAAGCAGGGGCUCUUCGGACCUUGCACUAUCGGAUGAACCCAUAUGGGAUUAGCUAGUAGGUGGGGUAAAGGCUCACCUAGGCGACGAUCUCUAGCUGGUCUGAGAGGAUGAUCAGCCACACUGGGACUGAGACACGGCCCANACUCCUACGGGAGGCAGCAGNGGGGAAUAUUGCACAAUGGGCGCAAGCCUGAUGCAGCCAUGCCGCGUGUAUGAANAAGGCCUUAGGGUUGUAAAGUACUUUCAGCGGGGAGGAAGGUGAUAAGGUUAAUACCCUUNUCAAUUGACGUUACCCGCANAAGA